This 335-nucleotide unclassified non-coding RNA is filed under the name soil metagenome. RNAcentral describes it as "partial contains 5.8S ribosomal RNA, internal transcribed spacer 2, and large subunit ribosomal RNA". The stretch from base 1 to 120 matches the Rfam family "5.8S ribosomal RNA", at positions 35 to 154 of the family's 154-position model. The record is from RNAcentral.
GAUGAAGAACGCAGCGAAAUGCGAUAAGUAAUGUGAAUUGCAGAAUUCAGUGAAUCAUCGAAUCUUUGAACGCACAUUGCGCCCGCCAGUAUUCUGGCGGGCAUGCCUGUUCGAGCGUCAUUUCAACCAUCAAGCCCCAGGCUUGUGUUGGGGACCUGCGGCUGCCGCAGGCCCUGAAAACCAGUGGCGGGCUCGCUAGUCACUCCGAGCGUAGUAAUACAUCUCGCUCAGGGCGUGCUGCGGGUUCCGGCCGUUAAAAAGCCUUAUUUACCCAAGGUUGACCUCGGAUCAGGUAGGAAGACCCGCUGAACUUAAGCAUAUCAAUAAGCGGAGGA